UCUCUUUGGCUGUGUCUACUACCGCGCACUUGAGCACUUCGAGCACUGACUUUCAGUGUUCGAAGUGCGCCACUGAAAAAACCAGCAGAAUUCAGUGCACUGAAAGUACCCGGAUGGUGCACUGCAAACGGGCAAAAAAUGUAGUGUAAAACGAUGGACACUACUCGCCCUAAACGGCCGCCAUCUUGGCGACGUAGCGGAAGAGGAGGAGCCCUUUCGCCAGCUUUUCAUUUUAUUUCUAAAACAAUGGCGGACAGCACAAGCGGUAGACCACGAAGCUACAGACCGUAAAUAGACGUUUCCUGGAGGUGCUGGCUGGUCCUCUGCUGCCCUCCCGACAUCUGCAUCUGGCUCCAAUGACCUCUGGCACCUCACAUCCACCUCCAGGGCCUUUAAGAAGAUGGACCGCCAUCGCGUCUUCAGUAUCCCGAAGGACCUCUCCACAACACAACACAGCUGGCCUUUGACAGGCAGCAGUUGUAGCUUGGAGGUGGACAGGCUGGCUGAAGGGGUCAUGAGGCAGAUGGGUUGGGACAGGCAGGGGUAGCCACCAUCCCCAAGGAUACAGGAUCCUGGUGGAGGGUAUGACUGCUCAUAGAAGAUGGGGCUGUUAUUCAGGACCCUGGCGUCAUGCACUGAGCCCGGGGCCUGUCGAAGGCCCUGGCCACCACCCGAUAGGAGGUGGCGCUGGCAAGCCAAAAAAUAAAAACUAGACAGGAGAUCUCGGGGCCCCAACCGUGGUCAGUCAGUGCCCAGCACAGCCAUGAGGGCGUUGAAUGACUCGGUGAGCCUGAAGUCCACCCUCAUGUCACUGUGGCCAUCACAAUACAACGCCAGCAGUGGCAUUGCAACAUUGAUACGGCAGCGCCGCUGGGACUGGGUGGCUGCUGUAGAGUGUGUGGGGAGGGGAGGGGAAGGGAAGAUUAUAUUAAUAUGAAAGUCAUUUUAUCAAUAAAAUGUUGUCAUUGA
Pseudoliparis swirei is the source of this 969-nucleotide long non-coding RNA. RefSeq lists it as uncharacterized. The record is from RefSeq and is a predicted model, not a curated record. Lineage: Eukaryota; Metazoa; Chordata; Actinopteri; Perciformes; Liparidae. The transcript is spliced from 2 exons.